CUAAGAAUAUUCCGCAAUGGACGAAAGUCUGACGGAGCGACGCCGCGUGGAUGAAGAAGGCCGAAAGGUUGUAAAAUCCUUUUGUUGGGGAAGAAUAAGCGUGGGAGGGAAUGCCCGCGUGAUGACAUGAACCGACGAAUAAGUCCCGGCUAACUACGUGCCAGCAGCCGCGGUAACACGUAGGGGACAAGCGUUAUUCGGAAUUACUGGGCGUAAAGGGCAUGUAGGCGGCUUUGUAAGCCUGGCGUGAAAGUCACCGGCUCAACCGGUGGAUUGCGUCAGGAACUGCAGAGCUUGAGUCAUGGAGAGGAAGGCAGAAUUCCUGGUGUAGGGGUGAAAUCUGUAGAGAUCAGGAAGAAUACCAGUGGCGAAGGCGGCCUUCUGGCCAAUGACUGACGCUGAGGUGCGAAAGUGUGGGGAUCAAACAGG
This 429-nucleotide ribosomal RNA is filed under the name uncultured bacterium. Its description in RNAcentral is "bacterial SSU rRNA". It matches the Rfam family "Bacterial small subunit ribosomal RNA", at positions 355 to 776 of the family's 1533-position model. The record is from RNAcentral.